GAAGGAAGGUGCUUCUGACACCCUUUUGGACACUGGUUCUUACUCCCGGAGAAUAAUGGUUAUUACUGAGUGCUUACUACAUGCUAUUACUCUAAGCUCUUCACAGGAAUUAAUCCCUUUAACGCUCACAACAAUCCCAGGCGGUGGAUGUUAUCUUGUCCAUUUUAAAGAGGAAGAAAUGGAGGCACCAGGAGGUUGAGUAACUUGCCUCAGGCGCUGCCUCUCCUACGUGGCAGAACUAAGCCGAACCCAGACAGGCUAGUCCAAGCUCCACUCUCUGGAUGCUCCAGACACCACCUCUGCGACAGAGAAGGGGAGUCCUGGCACGCCCGGCUGCCGCCUUCCCCAUCUGCACUCUCCUGCCUGGUUCUGGGCUGGCCUGGGGAUCGUGACUCACUUGCCUUAAGGCUCAAGGGUCUUGCAAAGGUUUGCCUUCCACCAACUCUCCUCGAUCAGCAGACACUCCCGAAGGUGCAGCCCACACCUGCACUCCCAGACCACACUCAGCCCCUCCCUGCCGAGGCCCUCGCUCCGCUCUGGUGAGUCACAGCUCCUGCUGCACAGCAGUCCCCGGUGGGCCCCGCCCUGCCCACAGGAAGUGACAAGAGUCAGAUAUAACUUUUCUCCCAGGGCUGGUGCACAUGUUCAAAAGGUGGUUAAAACGGGCAAGAGCUGUCUGUGCAGGGACCGCUCUGGAGAAGGACCAGGGCAGGAGGCGGCAGAGCCUCGGAGGUCUCCGAUUCCCAUCUUUCCUGAACCGGCUCUGAAACGGCAGAGCCGGCCUGAGGAGCCACGGGCUACAGCACCACCAAGCAUGCAGGGGCUUGGGGCACCUGAGAGGCGGGGCCAGAGGGGGCAGCCCGAGGGGGAAUGUCCGAGGGGGCUGGAUUCUCUUUGCAUUUAAAAAAAUGGAAGUGUCAAAAAAAAAAAAGUAAAAAGAAAAAUCAAAAUGUUGCCUUGUGGGUGUGGCUCAGUGGUUGAGCAUUGACCUAUGAACCAGGAGGUCGAGGUUCUAUUCCCAGUCAGGACACAUGCCCGGGGUGUGGGCUUGAUCCCCAGUAGGGGGUGUGCAGGAGGCAAUCAAUGAUUCUCUCUCACCAUUGAUGUUUCCAUCUCUCCCUCUCCCUUCCUCUCUAAAAUCAAUAAAAAAAAUAUUUUUUUUAAAAAAAUUGAAGUGUCGUUUCUUUCAGGAACCUCCCCUCAGGGCUCUGAGGUCCUCCAGGACCCAAAGGCCAAGGGAGCUGUUGCCUCUGCGGCCACUGUGCCCUUGGGUAGCACUGACGGUCAGGCUGCCACUCAACAGGGCUUGCCAUGUGCCCACUCUGGGGCAAGGACCCCAAAUGGUCAGACCUAUUCCCAGGAUGCACUUUGGACCAUCUCCAGUGAUUGGGGCAAACCAACAUUCCACUUAUAAUCCCUCCAAAAAGACAAAGAGCCACAAAGCAAACAGCUCUAGAACCCCAUGGAACGGGAUACGCCAUGGAGAGGAGAGGAGAGGGGCUCGGUGCACCCGAGCCACCUGGGGUCUGUGAAAGUGUGGGUCUGUGGGAGUCUGAGAUUCCACAUCUCUCCCAGCCAGUGCCCAUGGACCACACUGGAGUACUGGCAUUGGGGAUGCUAUAGAGCGUUUGGGAGGGUGUGUCAGUGCACCCUGAUAGAACCAGGGGAGGAAAAUGGACUCUAGGAAACUAAAACUGGCAAAGAGGCAGGUCUGAAAAGUGAGGACAGUAAUGCCAAUUCCAUAGGCUUCGGGGAGGAUAAAAUGAGAAGAUAUAUGAAGGCCUUAGUAUAGGGCCUGGCACAGACUAAGCAGUCAGUGAAUAGAAUACUUGUCGGUAUUAUUAUUAUAACUAGAGGCCUGGUGCAUGAAAUUUGUGCACUUGGGGGGAGAGGGGAGUCCCUCAGCCCAGCCUGGGCCCUCUCGCAGUCCGGGAGCCCUUGCGGGAUGUCCGACUGCCGGCUUAGGCCCGCUCUCCAGUCAGACAUCCUUAGCACUGCCGCGGAGGCGGGAGAGGCUCCUGCCACCACUGCUGCACUCACCAGCCGUAAGCCUGGCUUCUGGCUGAGCGGCGCUCCCCCUGUGGAAGCGCACUGACCACCAGGGGGCAGCUCCUGUGUUGAGCGUCUGCCCCCUGGUGGUCAGUGCACGUCAUAGUGACUGGUCGUUCCACCGUUCAGUUGAUUUGCAUAUUAGCCUUUUAUUAUAUAGGAUUAUAAAUAGCUGAAGCAAAGCAGUGGAAUGUCUCCUUUUACUUCCGAGUCCUGCACCAACACAGGUCAAAACAGAUGUCUCCGGGGAGGCAGGAACUCCCCUCUCCCUUGUGAUGCUGGCCAGGAGAACUGGAUGACCUUGACCAGAGGGCAGAAGGUCUCAGUCCAAGGGCCUCAGAUAGACACGUUUGGAAACUCACACAGCGUUCAAUGCAGAUUGCACACGGGCCUGCCUGGUUCCACGGCAAUCCCCGCUGCAGUGUCUCCUGUGCGUGGAUUUGGAACCAUCAUC
This is a long non-coding RNA of Myotis daubentonii (Daubenton's bat), 2503 nucleotides long. RefSeq lists it as uncharacterized. The transcript has 3 exons. The record is from RefSeq and is a predicted model, not a curated record. NCBI's taxonomy places the organism in Eukaryota, Metazoa, Chordata, Mammalia, Chiroptera, Vespertilionidae.